GGACUUUCCCUUGUCUCCACCUUGGAGAGAAGAGCGUGUUCUGAUAUGAAUGAAGAAACAGGAUCCCUGUGGUCUGUUUUCCACAUUCUUUGAGCCAUCCCAAUGUAGGAACUAAGAGAAGAAAUCUCAUUCUUUCUCUUCUGCCCUUGAAAGAGCAACAGGUUCUGCAGCAGUGAGUCCAAGAUCCCCACUGAGGGCAUCUGACACGUGGCUGCAUGAUGCUCCUUGCUGCAAAUUCAAGAACUGAGGAUGUUCUUGCAGCAGUCCCUGCAAUGGAGACCAUUGCACCAGAUGCCUCUGCAUAUUUAAGACCAAGGAGUGGGAUAAGGUCUCUCAGAGCAGGACCCUGUGGCAGCCACGUUUGCA
RNAcentral lists this long non-coding RNA (366 nucleotides) under Phasianus colchicus (ring-necked pheasant). RNAcentral's name for it is "lncRNA (ENSPCLG00000011138.1)". The record is from RNAcentral. Lineage: Eukaryota; Metazoa; Chordata; Aves; Galliformes; Phasianidae.